AAAUGUGUAAAGAUCUGCUUUUGUUUCCUACACUCACCCACUCCAAACAUUAACCUCAUACCAACCUCCCACUGUACACAAGGGCCACAGGAAGCCUGGACAAUGCAGAAGAGCUAAAGGAAGUGGAUAGGCUCUAGCUUGGGCCACAGGGUGGCCCCACAGCCUAUCCAGUGUACCCUGAGCAGCCAAUCACCAAGAAAAUGAAGGCACUGUUCCACGCAGUACGGACACAACAGUGAACAAAAUAGACAAACGCUCUGCUCUGGUAAAGCUUCAUUCAGUGAAGGAGAACAACGGUCAACAGAAGGUGGAAUCUCUGCUGUGCCGUGCGGUACAGAGGUAUGCACCAGCAUGGACCAGCUAAACACUCCGUUUCCAAUGGUAGCAACUUCUCUGAGUGGUUCUGUAAUGGACUGAAGCUGGAAUGUGCCCAAAGGCUCCCAUGUUGAAGGCUUGGUCCCCCUGUCCCAAGUGCUGCAGAGACCAUGAGGAUACUCAGCUCAUCAAUAGGUGAAGCUAUUGAUGAGUUCCCAGUUGACUGGCCUGGUUGAAAGGAGUGAGUCAUUGCUCUGUGCCUGGGAAGAAUGUCUCUCUCCCCUCUUCCCUUCCCUCUUUCUGACUCUUGGCCACCACAAGGUAACUAAUGAGCUUCCUCAGACUCAGAGAAGCAAGGAAAACAGCCCUCUGUGUACUGAGACCUCUGAAACCAUGGGCAUUCUCCUCUAAGCUUGGAAAGCUAUUUUGUCACAGCUACAAAAUAGUGGCCAACACACUGAGCUAAGAGAACCUCAUAGUUGCAGAGUUGUUAGCUAGGGUUGCUGUCGGAAGCCACCACGUGACUGCUGGAAAUCUAACCUGCAUUCUCAAAGAGCAUCCGACGCUAUUAACUGCUGAGUCAUCUCUCCAGCCCCACAGUGCUGCUCUUCUAAGUGUAAUGUCUCCAUUGGGCACACGCACCAGACAGAAUCUUUCUUACCCUUCCACACCAAGGGAAAAAGUGUCUCCUUUCAGAGGUCCCGGCAUAGCUGCCGAUGUGGUGAUUAUACAACGCAUCACCUACUUCAUGUCACUGUAAAUGUGUAUGUUUAUUGAAACAAUUUUCAGCUCAUGACCAAAAUCCCUUUAGUUCAGUCCAAUUCAGAACUCUGAUACGAAACAGUGAUAUGUGAAACAGAUACGUCUCAACUAGAGCCCUGCCUCAGUAGCCCCACGAUUCACCUUAUCCAACUCCCUUGUCAGUCCUGAGCCUCAAGGUGGGAGACACCCACACCCACACCCACACCCACACCCACAUGGGCCUGCAGCCCAAAUCUGCCAGUUCACUAUGUUUCAAGUUGCAUGGAGCAUCCCCACAGCUGCCAACACUGAUAUCUGCGAGUUCUACUUCUAAUCAGGUCAGAAUUCCAUGGCUGCUUGCUGGGCACGUGUCCUGGGUGGUGGCUGCACCAUGCCCUCUUCAGAGGGGCUGUGAUCUGCCAACUUAAGGAGGAUCCAGAGUGAGGAUUUUGGAAUUGGGAAGAUCAUGGCACCCAUGUUGUGAGAUCAUGCAUCUAACUGAAAAAGGCUGAGGUCUAGGAGGAUGGCGUCUUUUCUUUACUUGUGGGAGUUGUAGCGUGUUUCAGUAGGUCUCUGAAUCUCAGAGCAGGUUUCCCUCAGUAGCUGUCCUUCAGUACUGGCAACAAGUGAGAAAGUUAUACAUAUUGUGUAUCCUUCCAUAUAAGCAGAGUCCUCCAUAUCCAUAGGUACUGUGUCCAGAGUCAACAAACUUGAUUGACAAUAUUUUUAAAGAACGUUUUAAAAAGUAUUGAACACACAGAGCUUUUUAUUGUCAUUAUUCAUCAACCACACAGAAGAAUAACAUUUACAUAAUCUUCACUUUGUCAUAUUUAUAAUCUAGACAUGAUAUAAAGUAGAUAGAGGACCAGGUUAGAGUCCUUUGCUCUGCUCAGCUGAUAUGAAGCCUUGGCUGUUCUGUUAUGCUAGAUGGGGCAAGGCAGGCAAUAGGAAGUACCCUGCUGAAUGUUGUCAUUGUCUUUUCCGGGCCACAGAACUAGACACAACAGAAGAAUAAAGUGACAGUGUUACCAGUG
RNAcentral lists this long non-coding RNA (2090 nucleotides) under Mus musculus (house mouse). RNAcentral's name for it is "CMT1A duplicated region transcript 4, opposite strand 1". Lineage: Eukaryota; Metazoa; Chordata; Mammalia; Rodentia; Muridae. The record is from RNAcentral.